RNAcentral lists this ribosomal RNA (253 nucleotides) under uncultured bacterium. RNAcentral's name for it is "partial 16S ribosomal RNA". It matches the Rfam family "Bacterial small subunit ribosomal RNA", at positions 524 to 776 of the family's 1533-position model. The record is from RNAcentral.
UACGGAGGGUGCAAGCGUUAUCCGGAUUCACUGGGUUUAAAGGGAGCGUAGGUGGGGUGGUAAGUCAGUGGUGAAAUCUCCGGGCUUAACUCGGAAACUGCCAUUGAUACUAUCAUUCUUGAAUAUUGUGGAGGUAAGCGGAAUAUGUCAUGUAGCGGUGAAAUGCUUAGAUAUGCCAUAGAACACCGAUUGCGAAGGCAGCUUGCUGGACCUGUAUUGACGCUGAGGCACGAAAGCGUGGGGAGCAAACAGG